GAUGAACGCUAGCGACAGGCCUAACACAUGCAAGUCGAGGGGUAGCAGGAUGUAGCAAUACAUCGCUGACGACCGGCGCACGGGUGAGUAACGCGUAUGCAACCUACCUUCUACAGGGGGAUAGCCCGGAGGAAUCCGGAUUAAUACCCCAUAAAACAGGGACUCCGCAUGGAGAUAUUUGUUAAAGAUUAAUCGGUAGAAGAUGGGCAUGCGUUCCAUUAGCCAGUUGGUGAGGUAACGGCUCACCAAAGCAACGAUGGAUAGGGGAACUGAGAGGUUUAUCCCCCACACUGGAACUGAGACACGGACCAGACUCCUACGGGAGGCAGCAGUGAGGAAUAUUGGUCAAUGGGCGCGAGCCUGAACCAGCCAAGUCGCGUGAAGGAAGACUGCCUUAUGGGUUGUAAACUUCUUUUAUAUGAGAAUAAAAAGAGUUACGUGUAACUUAUUGCAAGUAUCAUAUGAAUAAGCAUCGGCUAACUCCGUGCCAGCCGCCGCAGUAA
Molecule: ribosomal RNA, 503 nt
Filed under: uncultured bacterium
Lineage: Bacteria
Description: partial 16S ribosomal RNA
Rfam family: Bacterial small subunit ribosomal RNA
Source: RNAcentral